GACGAACGCUGGCGGCGUGCUUAACACAUGCAAGUCGAACGGUAAGGCCCUUCGGGGUACACGAGUGGCGAACGGGUGAGUAACACGUGGGUGAUCUGCCCUGCACUUCGGGAUAAGCCUGGGAAACUGGGUCUAAUACCGGAUAGGACCACUGCCUGCAUGGGUGGUGGUGGAAAGCUUUUGCGGUGUGGGAUGGGCCCGCGGCCUAUCAGCUUGUUGGUGGGGUGAUGGCCUACCAAGGCGACGACGGGUAGCCGGCCUGGGAGGGUGACCGGCAACACUGGGCCUGAGAUACGGCCCAGACUCCUACGGGAGGCAGCAGUGGGGAAUAUUGCACAAUGGGCGCAAGCCUGAUGCAGCGACGCCGCGUGAGGGAUGACGGCUUUCGGGUUGUAAACCUCUUUCAGCACCGACGAAGCGCAAGUGACGGUAGGUGCAGAAGAAGGACCGGCCAACUACGUGCCAGCCGCCGCCGUAA
Molecule: ribosomal RNA, 478 nt
Filed under: uncultured bacterium
Lineage: Bacteria
Description: partial 16S ribosomal RNA
Rfam family: Bacterial small subunit ribosomal RNA
Source: RNAcentral